GAGCGAGGCCCACCUUCGGGGUGGUGCCCUAGCGGCGAACGGGUGAGUAACACGUGGGCAACCUGCCCUCAGCUCUGGGAUAACUCCAAGAAAUUGGUGCUAAUACCGGAUGUGACCGCUGACCGCAUGGUCUGGUGGUGGAAAGAUUCAUCGGCUGAGGAUGGGCCCGCGGCCUAUCAGCUUGUUGGUGGGGUAGUGGCCCACCAAGGCGACGACGGGUAGCCGGCCUGAUAGGGUGACCGGCCACACUGGGACUGAGACACGGCCCAUACUCCUACGGGAGGCAGCAGUGGGGAAUAUUGCGCAAUGGGCGAAAGCCUGACGCAGCGACGCCGCGUGAGGGAUGACGGCCUUCGGGUUGUAAACCUCUUUCAGUAGGGACGAAGCGAAAGUGACGGUACCUACAGAAGAAGCACCGGCCAACUACGUGCCAGCAGCCGCGGUAAUACGUAGGGUGCAAGCGUUGUCCGGAAUUAUUGGGCGUAAAGAGCUCGUAGGCGGUCUGUCGCGUCGGCUGUGAAAACCCGAGGCUCAACCUCGGGCCUGCAGUCGAUACGGGCAAACUAUAGUACUGCAGGGGAGACUGGAAUUCCUGGUGUAGCGGUGAAAUGCGCAGAUAUCAGGAGGAACACCGGUGGCGAAGGCGGGUCUCUGGGCAGUAACUGACGCUGAGGAGCGAAAGCGUGGGGAGCGAACAGGAUUAGAUACCCUGGUAGUCCACGCCGUAAACGUUGGGCGGUAGGUGUGGGGGCCAUUCCACGGUCUCCGUUGCCCGCAGCUAACGCAUUAAGCGCCCCGCCUGGGGAGUACGGCCGCAAGGCUAAAACUCAAAGGAAUUGACGGGGGCCCGCACAAGCGGCGGAGCAUGUUGCUUAAUUCGAUGCAACGCGAAGAACCUUACCUAGGCUUGACAUGCACGGAAAUCUCGUAUAGAUACGGGGUGCCUUUGGCGUCGUGCACAGGUGGUGCAUGGUUGUCGUCAGCUCGUGUCGUGAGAUGUUGGGUUAAGUCCCGCAACGAGCGCAACCCUCGUUCUAUGUUGCCAGCACGUGAUGGUGGGGACUCAUAGGAGACUGCCGGGGUCAACUCGGAGGAAGGUGGGGAUGACGUCAAAUCAUCAUGCCCCUUAUGUCUAGGGCUGCAAACAUGCUACAAUGGCCGGUACAAAGGGCUGCGAUACCGCGAGGUGGAGCGAAUCCCAAAAAGCCGGUCUCAGUUCGGAUUGGGGUCUGCAACUCGACCCCAUGAAGUUGGAGUCGCUAGUAAUCGCAGAUCAGCAACGCUGCGGUGAAUACGUUCCCGGGCCUUGUACACACCGCCCGUCACGUCACGAAAG
RNAcentral lists this ribosomal RNA (1336 nucleotides) under Modestobacter multiseptatus. RNAcentral describes it as "bacterial SSU rRNA". It matches the Rfam family "Bacterial small subunit ribosomal RNA", at positions 64 to 1410 of the family's 1533-position model. The record is from RNAcentral. Lineage: Bacteria; Bacillati; Actinomycetota; Actinomycetes; Geodermatophilales; Geodermatophilaceae.